CGGGUUGUAGAGGUGUCCGCUUGCAUGGGGUGCUAGGGGUCGAGUGUUCGAAUCACUCCGUCCCGACCA
Molecule: transfer RNA, 69 nt
Filed under: Pseudomonas sp. FP2294
Lineage: Bacteria; Pseudomonadati; Pseudomonadota; Gammaproteobacteria; Pseudomonadales; Pseudomonadaceae
Description: tRNA-Pro
Source: RNAcentral